UCAUCCUUAAUUGAUGUUCUACCAGCUUAUAGUAUCAAUUUUUAUUUCUUCAUUUCUUAAUUUUUACCUAACCUCACCUAAGUACAUCCUUAAGAUCUAUCUUCCUUGACAUUACAAAUAAGUGCUAAUGAUAACUUAACAUGAAGGUAUGUCCCUUAAGUGAUACUGUGUAAAAAGCAGUUGAACGCCAUAUAUGAUAAAUUAUAUUAAAUUCAUGUAAAAGCUUUACUAUAAUUACAUGUUAUGUGUAGGUCUGAAAACGAAUGCCUAUAGAAAACUUUGUAUGGAAGUUUUUAAGAAACAUUUAAGAUGUGUGGAAUUUUCUUGUAAGCAUUGAAAUUUGUUAUUGCUUAUCAAAUUUGAAAAUGCAAACUGAAGAAAACGUAAAAAAUCAAAAGUAUAAUCUUGAGUGACAGAUAAAUAAUUUUUCAGAGGUUUUGUCAUUUUGAAACAUUGAAAAUGUGAAAAGACUGUAAAUGCACUGCCAUUUUCACUAACUUAUUGUUUUGUAUGAAACCAUUUUAUUACAUAAGCAUUACCCUUGGAGGAAACAAAAACAUGCCUAUGAUUUGUUAUUUGAUAUCAUCAUUAAAAAUGUCCACAUCAUUUAAGUAAGAAUUCAAAUGAGAAAUAGAAAAUAAUGGAAAAAACUCAAAAUAAUGGUUUAAAAAAAUAAAGAAUAGAGACAAAUGGACCAAACUUAUGAUGAAAAGAGCAUACUUUGGUGCUAAAAUAUAUUAAAAGACAAAGGAUGAUUAGCAAAAUAAAUAAAACAUAAAGGAACAUGGCCAAAUUUUUGUUAAAAUACAAAAAUGAAACCCUUCUCCAUCUAGACCCUCGUAAUAAACACUUUAACAGUAAAAGAAAAAUGAAGACAUCACCAGAAUCACUGUAUUUAAUUCUAUCCUUCUUAGUCUAUGAUACUACUUUUUGGGUGAAGUAGUCAUUAUAAAUAGUACAUUUUGUACCACCAUUUAUAUGAGGCAUUUUAUUGUAUAAUUAAAUCUGGUGCAAUAUUCCUAUUUGAUAUGUGUAUUAUUCAUGUUUAUUGAUUUAGCAUACUUGUAAAAGGUCACAAACAACAUGAACAAUAUUGUUAUUGUUAUUGUACAGUUCAUCCUUGAUUUUAAUAAAGUGAUAGCAAUA
This 1146-nucleotide long non-coding RNA is filed under the name Mytilus galloprovincialis (Mediterranean mussel). The record is from RNAcentral. Lineage: Eukaryota; Metazoa; Mollusca; Bivalvia; Mytilida; Mytilidae.